RNAcentral lists this unclassified non-coding RNA (499 nucleotides) under Hevea brasiliensis (rubber tree). Lineage: Eukaryota; Viridiplantae; Streptophyta; Magnoliopsida; Malpighiales; Euphorbiaceae. The record is from RNAcentral.
ACUGAGCUCUGUUUUGAAGUCAGCAGAACCAGCGAGUAUCAGGCCGGAGACAUUGGGCUGACUGGUGGCAGGAUUUAUAUAAAAUUGAGUUGCAAGCUCAGCUGUCUUCCUCACGUAGUUAUGUCGUUUCUCCAUUCGGAGACGAGCAAAACGCAAGGCUGAUUGUCCUCCUCUUCCGUGUUUCUUGGGCAAAUCAACACUAAACUUAUGAAGGACCUCACGCGUGUUGCCACUCAAUGUCCCAAAAAGAGUCCCAUUCCCAUCCAUCACUAUAAAUCCAAAUUUGUCAUCAGAUUCCAGAAGUUCAUUCAGGGCUUCAGUGUGGAAUUUGUUGUCACAAAGAUAGAGUGAUGCAUUAAUGGGCUUGAAUGGCUCAAAAUCAAUAGUAACCUUCUUUUCUUUCCCAUCAUCGGUCACAAUUGUUCCAGUGUAAAGAACAAGCCCAUUUGGUGGAACCUUGUUGUAGAGUUUAAGCCUCUGCUGAGCAGAUGUGAUUGCA